AGAAGCCUAUUUGUAUUUGCAUCUCCAGUCUGAAGCAGCUGGUGGAAGCCAAACCUCCCUUUAGUCCCUUGCUGUGGGCGUUCAUGCGGAACGUGUACCCAGGCGGCAUCAGCUGCAUCGUCAGCAAAGGAGACUGGCUCUUCAAACUGGGGGUGGGACCGGCUUAUGAGCGCGUUGGCACCAGGACAGCAUCAUGAUCCGAGUACCUGACCACACCGUUACCCGCCACCUCUGCGAUGUCACUGGACCUCUCGCUAUUACCUCGGCCAAUCCCAGCGGAGAACAGGACAGCACUCACCACAGCAUGGUGAUCGACCGACUGGGGCACAAGAUCCAAGGGGUUCUGUGUGACGGGGAGACGAGCGAAGUUGUUGCUUCAACGGUAGUCAACUGCCUUCAGAUCGAUGAAGG
This is a long non-coding RNA of Syngnathus acus (greater pipefish), 411 nucleotides long. RefSeq lists it as uncharacterized. The record is from RefSeq and is a predicted model, not a curated record. The transcript is spliced from 3 exons. Lineage: Eukaryota; Metazoa; Chordata; Actinopteri; Syngnathiformes; Syngnathidae.